AUGUGAAUAAGACUCACGGAUAUACAAGGUGAUUCUCAGACUUAAGUUGGGCGGACUCUUGAGCUCGGAUUUCACUCUUUCGAUUUAAGUUGGGUUUGGGGUGUUAUUGAAAAUCUACAACCGGUUAUUGUACUCUUGUGGGAGGAAACUUAAUCACUUGGAGGAGCAAGAAGCAAAGUGUUGCUACUCAAUCAAGUGCAGAGGCUGAAUAUAAGGUCAUGGCUCAAGGUGUUUGUGAGAUUUUACAGCUGCAAAAGAUAUUGGAAGAGCUAAAGUUAUUGAAUGAAAAUAGAUUAACUCUUUACUGUGACAACAAAACGACCAUCAACAUAG
Gossypium arboreum is the source of this 333-nucleotide long non-coding RNA. RefSeq lists it as uncharacterized. The transcript is spliced from 3 exons. The record is from RefSeq and is a predicted model, not a curated record. NCBI's taxonomy places the organism in Eukaryota, Viridiplantae, Streptophyta, Magnoliopsida, Malvales, Malvaceae.